UACGUAGGGUGCAAGCGUUGUCCGGAAUUAUUGGGCGUAAAGAGCUCGUAGGCGGUCUGUCGCGUCGGCUGUGAAAACUCGGGGCUCAACCCCGAGCCUGCAGUCGAUACGGGCAGACUAGAGUGCGGUAGGGGAGACUGGAAUUCCUGGUGUAGCGGUGAAAUGCGCAGAUAUCAGGAGGAACACCGAUGGCGAAGGCAGGUCUCUGGGCCGAUACUGACGCUGAGGAGCGAAAGCGUGGGGAGCGAACAGG
RNAcentral lists this ribosomal RNA (253 nucleotides) under uncultured bacterium. Its description in RNAcentral is "partial 16S ribosomal RNA". It matches the Rfam family "Bacterial small subunit ribosomal RNA", at positions 524 to 776 of the family's 1533-position model. The record is from RNAcentral.